Molecule: ribosomal RNA, 449 nt
Filed under: uncultured bacterium
Lineage: Bacteria
Description: bacterial SSU rRNA
Rfam family: Bacterial small subunit ribosomal RNA
Source: RNAcentral
GAUGAACGCUGGCGGCGUGCUUAACACAUGCAAGUCGAACGGGAAUUACUUUAUUGAAACUUCGGUCGAUUUAAUUUAAUUCUAGUGGCGGACGGGUGAGUAACGCGUGGGUAACCUGCCUUAUACAGGGGGAUAACAGUCAGAAAUGGCUGCUAAUACCGCAUAAGCGCACAGAGCUGCAUGGCUCAGUGUGAAAAACUCCGGUGGUAUAAGAUGGACCCGCGUUGGAUUAGCUUGUUGGUGAGGUAACGGCCCACCAAGGCGACGAUCCAUAGCCGGCCUGAGAGGGUGAACGGCCACAUUGGGACUGAGACACGGCCCAGACUCCUACGGGAGGCAGCAGUGGGGAAUAUUGCACAAUGGGGGAAACCCUGAUGCAGCGACGCCGCGUGAAGGAAGAAGUAUCUCGGUAUGUAAACUUCUAUCAGCAGGGAAGAUAGUGACGGUAC